UCAGAAACUUAAAGGAAGUUGACGGGGCCCGGCACAAGCGGUGGAGUAUGUGGUUAAUUCGAUGCAACGCGAAGAACCUUACCUGGUCUUGACAUCCCGGAGACCCUUAGGAACUAGGGGUGCUUCCAUCUGGAAGAAUCUGGAGACAGGUGCUGCAUGGCUGUCGUCAGCUCGUGUCGUGAGAUGUUGGGUUAAGUCCCGCAACGAGCGCAACCCUUGCCUUUAGUUGCCAGCAGUUCGGCUGGGCACUCUAAAGGGACUGCCGGUGUUAAACCGGAGGAAGGUGGGGGAUGACGUCAAGUCCUCAUGGCCUUUAUGACCAGGGCUACACACGUACUACAAUGGCCGAUACAAAGGGCAGCGACACUGCGAGGUGAAGCCAAUCCCGUAAAAUCGGUCUCAGUCCGGAUUGGAGUCUGCAACUCGACUCCAUGAAGUUGGAAUCGCUAGUAAUCGUGGAUCAGCAUGCCACGGUGAAUACGUUCCCGGGCCUU
Molecule: ribosomal RNA, 494 nt
Filed under: uncultured Desulfobulbus sp.
Lineage: Bacteria; Pseudomonadati; Thermodesulfobacteriota; Desulfobulbia; Desulfobulbales; Desulfobulbaceae
Description: bacterial SSU rRNA
Rfam family: Bacterial small subunit ribosomal RNA
Source: RNAcentral